This is a long non-coding RNA of Gallus gallus (chicken), 2527 nucleotides long. RefSeq lists it as uncharacterized. Lineage: Eukaryota; Metazoa; Chordata; Aves; Galliformes; Phasianidae. The record is from RefSeq and is a predicted model, not a curated record. The transcript is spliced from 4 exons.
GGCCGCCACCGCCCCGCCGAGCAGAGUGCGGCGCUGCCCCGCCGGCAGCCACAAAGGGUCGGGGUGCAGAGAGGGGCAGCGGCAGUGCCAUUUUGUGGGGCGUCUGCCUUGACAAAAUGGCUUUCCCCCCUGUCGUUUUGAGAGCUUUUCUUGCUUUUAGAGCCAGGUUUUGCAUCCCUUUGAACUACACAGGGUCUUCACCGCUGAAAUCUAACUUAAGUUGUGUGAGCAAAUCCCACUGCUGAGAGCUGCUAAUUAAGCAUAACUGACGUGGUGAAGGAAAAGGACACGAGGAGCCUUCAAGCCCAGGAGGAUUAUGGUAAAUAAAAAUCACUCCAGGAAGUCUGCUUAGAAUGGAAGGUAUGGUUCUUAACCUGGGAGGUUUGCUAAUGAAAAGUGGUGGUCCUAUAUUGACAUAGGUGUUUAGUGAUGUGGAAAUGUGAGACUGUAAAGGAUGCAUAUACUUCUGCUGUUCUUGGAUAAUGUUUUGGACAGUCUCUUCUGGAAUGUAGCUUCUAAAAAUCACUCUUUUUUCCUCUGGUAAAUAUAACAGCCUGAGACUUUUCUCAUAUGGAAAGACCUGAAGGAGAAAACAAGAAGGUAAAGAGGGGGACAUAACUUUGAUAGGAUAUUUUUUCAGAAGAUGGAGCAUCUGUGCACGGCAAAGAAAUAUUUAAGACAAAGAAAUUCUAAUCCUGAUCCUUUAAAGAUUAAUUAAAGCAUCUUGCUUUACUCAUUGCCAUAAUUCCACCAUUUGAUUAACCUUAGCUGUCACCUGAAUAGAGCUAGGGCUGUGCUUUGUCCCACCAGAGCCCUCUCCCCACACUCUGUGAGCAGCACUUCAGUACGUCCGUAUCCUCAGCCUGGCCACUGGGAAAGUGUGUAUGAAUAAGCUGCACGACAGGGUCAUAAAUAACAUGGAGAGCAGAACAAAUCUUGGCAGCAGAUCACAGCUGCUGGGGAGACAAGAGCUAUGGUAGACACAUGAGAAGAAAAGGAAAAGAAGAGUAAUAUUUAAGAGGAAAGUAGAAAUUUUACUGUUAGUCUCUGUUCCAUUGAAAUCAGACCAUUUCUGACCUUGGUUUCUUUGUUAGCAGGCUUGGUCUCCUGAUUUCUUAAAUGCUUUUCUUUUUGUCUAACCUCUCAGGGAAGGACUGAUGCUUUAAAACCAUUAGAAAAUCUGCUUUCCUUAUGGAAAGUCAAAUUCGAAACUAUAAAAGGCAAUCAGUUUUGAAGGAGAUCACAUCACUCCCAAAAAGACAUGUAUACGGUACAUGCAUAUCUCUAAAUCCACAAAGUGCAUUUCUAUCCUUAAGUCUGUGUGACCUUUCAUGGAAUGCAGGCCUAAGUAUUUUUUCAAUCUCUUGUGUCCAUCACAAAUUCCAAGCACCAUUAUUGCACAAAAUUCUUUUUUCCUCUUUUAAGUUUCAUAACCAAAAUCUCUUCAAACUGUGUUUUAAAACUGUAGCAAGACUUUAAGACUUGUCUGGAAAACCUUCAAACAAUUACAAAUAUGCACACAAAAAAUAUGUGCUUAGAUGAGGUAAUCCACAAGAGGGUUUUUAAGUGGCCUUUUGAAAACCAACUAUUGUAUAUAUAAAUGUCAAAAUUAAUUAAAAAUCAACAAAAAACAAGAAGUGAAAGCCACAAUGCUGUAUUUGUUAUGAAUAUACUGAUUAAGCUCUCUCUCAUUAGUAAGUGUUUAUCACUGUCCUUGAAGGCAGUGAAGCCUUUAGAAAGAAAGGAACAGAUUAUGGACCCACUGGAGGAUGCAGCCCAUCCGAUGAUUUCAUAUUGAUACCAACACCAGGAGAACCAUUUUCAAGGACAUUGUGGGUCUUCUGUGAUACCUGAUUAAUGAUAAAAGUGGUCUUAAAGCCUUUUGGCAGCUAUGGAAAUCACUCCCAUGAUUUAAACGUGUUGUCCAAAGUCCCCUCCCUGGAGAGCUACAGUUGCCUGCGUGGGUUUAUACCAAGAAUCAGUGAGACAUCAUGAGUUAAUAUUUGUGUGUUAAUGCUAAGAGCUGGUUUUUAUGAGUGUUACUAAAUGGCUUUUUAGAUCCGGUCCUUGAGUACCAAAAAUGAGCCUUCCAACACUGCUGCAUGUAUCCAAGCUGGUGGAGGGAAUGGCCUGAACUUAACCAUCCACACUAUGAUCUUAAGUGAUUAAUUUGCAGUUUUCCGUGAGUGUCACACAGCAGGUUUCAAUACUACUGAGCUUUUCCAGGAAUCUGCUCAUUUAUUAUUGCUGUGUGCAUUACUGCAUUUUUUAGGGAUGGAAGUAUAUGCCAGCACAUUCAUGACACACUUUGGUGCCUCGCUAAUGUUGCAUGCACUUGAUAAAGUUCCCAAAUCAUAGCAUUUGAAACCAGAAAGUAUACAGAGAUAAAAUGAAUGUCCCAUACUUACUGAGGGUGAACUCAAUUCCCUCAUCCAAAUCAUCAGUAAAGAUAUUGAACAGGACAAGGGCGAAUACCGACCUCUGGGGAGCACCAUUCACAACUGGUUGCCAGCAGGAUGUAACUCCA